AAGCAUGAUGUGUCUGUAUCUUUAUUGCAGGAAAAUGAAUCUUGUUAUGUGAGGGCACUGAGGAGGAAACAGUCCCCAGCUACCAAGAGGAAGAAAGGCCGGUGGGAAAUACACAGAUCGAGGGAUUUUAAUGGCUUUCAGGUAGA
RNAcentral lists this long non-coding RNA (146 nucleotides) under Aquila chrysaetos chrysaetos. Its description in RNAcentral is "lncRNA (ENSACCG00020012191.1)". The record is from RNAcentral. Lineage: Eukaryota; Metazoa; Chordata; Aves; Accipitriformes; Accipitridae.